CGCGUAGGCGGUUUGGUAAGCGGAGGGUGAAAUCCCGGGGCUCAACUCCGGGGCUGCUCUCCGAACUGCCAGACUAGAGUACGGGAGAGGAUAGUGGAAUUCCUGGUGUAGCGGUGGAAUGCGUAAAUAUCAGGAGGAACACCCGUGGCGAAGGCUGCUAUCUGGAACGUUACUGACGCUGAGGCGCGAAAGCUAGGGGAGCGAACGGGAUUAGAUACCCCGGUAGUCCUAGCUGUAAACGAUGGACACUAGGUGUUGGAGGCAUCGACCCCUUCAGUGCUGUUCUGCUAACGCGUUAAGUGUCCCGCCUGGGGAGUACGGCCGCAAGGUUGAA
This 334-nucleotide ribosomal RNA is filed under the name uncultured bacterium. Its description in RNAcentral is "bacterial SSU rRNA". It matches the Rfam family "Bacterial small subunit ribosomal RNA", at positions 568 to 898 of the family's 1533-position model. The record is from RNAcentral.